CAAGAAUCCAUACCAUCUCAAUACUCAAACACAUACCAUUAAUAAGAACAGACUCAGUCACCAAGAAAUUCAAUCAUAACACAAACAAACCACCCUAGACUGAAUCUCAUAGCUCAGAAAAAACUGAAACGAAACAGAAUCACAUAGAAAUAAAGAGAGGAAACUGGAACCUGAAGUUAAAGCUUCAAUUAUCUGAAAUUUUCAGCAGUUACACAAGCGAUGUAAACAAGCCGCUAAUGCCAAAAUGGGACGCAGAUGGAACUUGAACAAAACAACUUCGAACAGCACCCAAACAAACCACAGAACAACACACAAUUUCAAACAAACUCCAUCACAAGUAACGUCAACCCAGAAAUGAGAUACAAAAAAGUCAAAAUUCAUUUUGUUUUUGUUUCUUGAUCUCUGAUUCUGGCAAAGGAUACAGAACUAGACUCGAAAAAACUCAAACCAUUUUUGGUUUAUUUUCUGUAUUUUUCUUAAAUGAAACUCGAGUAAGAAUCAAACCCAAACUAUUUUUUCGUAAUUCUGUUUCUUUUUUGAAAAUGCAGUACCAACCUGAAGAGAAAGAAAACAAAGAACCUCAGAAUUUUUGCCUUUCCAAAAACUCUCUCCAAAAAAAUCCUCCUCUUAAAAUUGGUUCCAGUCCUUAUAUGAAACGAAUCCCUGAUAAUGUGGGGCUUGGAUUGAACGAAAUCAGUCCAAUGCCUCACAUUCAUCCAAAGAAUUGUCUCUAGGACCUUCUAAUCGCUAGCCUUCUUUAAAAAACGAACGAGUGAAAGGAAGGAGAAUAUUCGGUGUCAAAAACCGUUAUCUGUGCUAAGAGGUUGGAUAGAGGAACACGUAGGUUAGGGAUUGAUGUUCAGUCACGUGAAUUUUGGGCUGAAAUGGGGCUUGGUGCAUGGAUUCUUCGAAGAAGAAGAAUAGUGCUCGUGUGUUAGGG
This 940-nucleotide long non-coding RNA is filed under the name Nicotiana benthamiana. RNAcentral describes it as "long non-coding RNA (NBEN_LNC012296)". Lineage: Eukaryota; Viridiplantae; Streptophyta; Magnoliopsida; Solanales; Solanaceae. The record is from RNAcentral.